ACUGGCUUGCUGCUCUUCACUUUGUGGACGUUGAAUUACUUAUAGCCGUGAUCCUGGUCCUUAUCUUUGUAGUGCGUCGUCAUGAAUACCAAACCAGAAAUAGCUAUUCUCUCUCACCUUCUUCCUCGAUGAAUCCUUACAUCUUGAUGUGAAACUUCUAUAAAAUACAUUAUAUUGCCUUAUAAAAAAUACAGUACACAUUUAUAAUGUCUUAUAAACAGAGAUGUGAAAGCAUUCUUCUUAAUUCUAGUUGUACGCUCACUGUGUUUCUCUUGUUCACUCAGUCUCUGUUUUUCUUCUCACACUCACUCUGUUUUGUCUUGUGUUUCAUUAUUAAACAAGCAGACACAGUCUCUUUACUCCCU
RNAcentral lists this long non-coding RNA (365 nucleotides) under Brassica napus (rape). RNAcentral describes it as "long non-coding RNA (BNAP_LNC022476)". The record is from RNAcentral. Lineage: Eukaryota; Viridiplantae; Streptophyta; Magnoliopsida; Brassicales; Brassicaceae.